Molecule: ribosomal RNA, 253 nt
Filed under: uncultured bacterium
Lineage: Bacteria
Description: partial 16S ribosomal RNA
Rfam family: Bacterial small subunit ribosomal RNA
Source: RNAcentral
UACGUAGGGAGCAAGCGUUGUUCGGAUUUACUGGGCGUACAGGGCGCGUAGGCGGCGCGGUAAGUCACUUGUGAAAUCUCUGAGCUUAACUCAGAACGGCCAAGUGAUACUGCAGUGCUAGAGUGCAGAAGGGGCAAUCGGAAUUCUUGGUGUAGCGGUGAAAUGCGUAGAUAUCGAGAGGAACACCAGUGGCGAAGGCGGCGACCUGGGCAGAUACUGACGCUGAGGUGCGAAAGCGUGGGGAGCAAACAGG